RNAcentral lists this ribosomal RNA (253 nucleotides) under uncultured bacterium. RNAcentral's name for it is "partial 16S ribosomal RNA". It matches the Rfam family "Bacterial small subunit ribosomal RNA", at positions 524 to 776 of the family's 1533-position model. The record is from RNAcentral.
UACGUAGGGUGCAAGCGUUAAUCGGAAUUACUGGGCGUAAAGCGUGCGCAGGCGGUUUUGUAAGUCUGUCGUGAAAGCCCCGGGCUCAACCUGGGAAUUGCGAUGGAGACUGCAAGGCUUGAAUCUGGCAGAGGGGGGUAGAAUUCCACGUGUAGCAGUGAAAUGCGUAGAGAUGUGGAGGAACACCGACGGCGAAGGCAGCCCCCUGGGUCAAGAUUGACGCUCAUGCACGAAAGCGUGGGGAGCGAACAGG